Long non-coding RNA from Ipomoea nil (Japanese morning glory), 280 nucleotides. RefSeq lists it as uncharacterized. The record is from RefSeq and is a predicted model, not a curated record. The transcript is spliced from 2 exons. NCBI's taxonomy places the organism in Eukaryota, Viridiplantae, Streptophyta, Magnoliopsida, Solanales, Convolvulaceae.
AUUUUUAGAUGAGAAUAUUGUCAAUGAACAUAAGAAUGGAGAUGAAUACCCAAGUGGUCUGCAAGACUUUUCAACUAGUCUUGUCUAUGUUUGGCUAGAUCAUUAAUGACUCUAAAGAAGCAUUAAAUUCCUUCAAGAAUCCCAACUUCCAAUUUGUGAAACAGUCUGCGAAUCGAGUUUUCUGUAGCUUAGCUAGAGAAAGUAGUUUUUAUGUCAGACGGCAAGAAAUGGCUUGCCAUUCCAUUGAACUUUGUUGUAAACGUUCCUAUUUAUGUUUAAU